UCCAAUUUCAUGCGGCUGUGACUGCAAGAUUUUGUGUAGCAAUUCAAAGUGCCAAAAUUAGUGAAGUCAUCUGUAGGAUCUGCCAAGAAAAGCGACUUCUGUGCAGAAAUCCAUCCAACAGAUGGCCUUACCAGCUGAGAAUGGAAUGGGGAAAUUCAUCUGUGGGCCUGCUGUGUUGGCCUAUUCCCUUCCUCAGAAAAUGGUGGGUUUGGCAAGUGUCCAUGUCUGAAGCUUUAAAAAGUUUCCUUGUGAUGUGGUGGUUGGUCCUCAAAGACAUCAUGGUUGAACUCCUGCGGGAUAAGGAUAUUGGCUUUCGGAGUAGCAGUGUAGCAUUUUAGUAUUGGG
This 345-nucleotide long non-coding RNA is filed under the name Elaeis guineensis (African oil palm). Its description in RNAcentral is "long non-coding RNA (EGUI_LNC025637)". Lineage: Eukaryota; Viridiplantae; Streptophyta; Magnoliopsida; Arecales; Arecaceae. The record is from RNAcentral.